UAUUUGAAUGGAGGGACGGGGA
RNAcentral lists this unclassified non-coding RNA (22 nucleotides) under Mus musculus (house mouse). RNAcentral describes it as "oocyte_clustered_small_RNA13819". Lineage: Eukaryota; Metazoa; Chordata; Mammalia; Rodentia; Muridae. The record is from RNAcentral.